CUUCGGUGACAAGCUGUGGACAAAUGUAGUGGACAUGGGCGUCGAUGGCACCUGCGGUGACGAUCAACUUUUCGCCAGCGAUGACCUCGGUGGAAGAGCCUAUGACCAGACAGGAGUCGACGCAGUCCAUGUCAUCCGGGUUACCAGCCUUUCCGAUGCCGACGAUGAUACCAUCCCGAACGCCAAUAUCUGCCUGGGAUAGGUCAUCAAAUUUGUACUGUGUGAAGAAUGACAGGAGUAUACGUACCUUAUAGAUUCCGGUCCAGUCCACGAUGACGGCAUUGGUGAUAACGAGGUCGAGUGCUCCUUUGCAGUCUUUGCAGUCUUUCGAGCUCCAGCCAGUCGCCUGGCCCAUCCCAUCUCGGAUG
RNAcentral lists this small RNA (368 nucleotides) under Scleroderma citrinum Foug A. RNAcentral describes it as "5' ureB small RNA". It matches the Rfam family "5' ureB small RNA". Lineage: Eukaryota; Fungi; Basidiomycota; Agaricomycetes; Boletales; Sclerodermataceae. The record is from Rfam by way of RNAcentral.